RNA transcript from Sorghum bicolor (sorghum), 1438 nucleotides. RefSeq lists it as uncharacterized. Lineage: Eukaryota; Viridiplantae; Streptophyta; Magnoliopsida; Poales; Poaceae. The record is from RefSeq and is a predicted model, not a curated record. The transcript has 4 exons.
AAAAAGCCAAACCAGGAGACGUCAACACCACUCCAAAGUCUCUCUUCAACGUGUCCGCACUUACUCCCGAGGCCACCUCCUGCUCUCCCACACUCCUGACCCUCGACUUCCCCUCGUCUUUCCUUCGCGACCAUCGACUUCCGCAUCACGCCGGCGCCAGCCACCGCCCGCGGCCUAGCACCAUCCUCACGAGACCUCCUCACUCCUGUUCAUCGCCAGCACCGUCGCCUUCUGCUUGCGCUUCCAUCGCCAGAUCCCGGAACUGCUCAGCGCGCCGCAGCCCCGGUAAGCGGUGGACGGCGAGGAGCGGCCACAUCCCGGUCUGCCAAGCUGCUGCGGCGUCUCAGGCUACAAGGAGGCUGGCUGCCGGUGUGGCAGGCUGCGUGCGUCGUCAGAUCCCGGAACUGCUCGGUGCGCCGCAGCCCCGGUGCGCGGUGGACGGCGAGGAGCGGACGCAUCCCGGUCUGCCAACCUGCUGCGGCGUCUCAAGCUACGAGGAUGUCGGCUUCCGCUGUGGCAGUCUGCGUGCGUCGCCAGAUCCCGGAACUGUUGGGCGCGCCGCAGCCCCGGUGCGAGGUGGACGGCGAGGAGCAACUGCAGCCCAGUCUGCCAAGCCGCUGCGGCGGGCUGCGAAGACGCCGGCUGCUGCUGUGGCACACUGCGUCCGGGUUAAGCACAGAUACACAAGCUGGGCUGUUGAAACGUGGGAUUACAUUUGACAAGUUACUAACUGUUCCUGAGAAUGAUAGUUCGGUCGAUGAAGAUGCAUGGCCAGUCAGCAUCCUGUAUAGCUCUUUGACCAUAUUACCAGCUCCGUUGAAGUUACUGAAUUCACAAUUGUUGAGAAUUCCCGUGUAAGUAAAGGAAUGGACUACUUUACUGCUUUGCUUAUAUCUAUGUGAUGAAAAGUUUUGAAAAAUAAUGCGUCCCGGCGGUCGCUAGCGGGCAGCCACAUGGCCUGCAUCCAUGUUGGCCACACGCGCGGCUCCGUCGAGCCAUCCUAUAGUGGCGCUCAGGCGUCUCAGGUUGCAAGCGGCGAGCCUAUGCAGCCGAGCGGCCAUGUGGUCAUGUCCUUGGUGGCCGAACGCGCCACACUGUGGUGUAUCGCCACCGUCAGGUUGCUAGCUUGGGAAUGCGCGCGAGGCCUAUUGUGCGCGCGUGCUCACCUUCGAUGUGACCCUGUUGCGUGCUCUCAUGAACAACUACAUCGUCGAGGUUGUCAAUGUCUAUUGUUUUGAUUUUAUAACUUGUUUUGAGUUUGGAUUUGGAUUGUUGUGCUGUGUGGAUUUUGAUUCAGACUUGAUUUGGUCCUGGGCACCUUGUAGAUUUGGGCUUGCCGAUUUUGGAAAAUCCUUGUAUAAAUUUAGUAGAUUUGAGAAAACCUAUUUAAUUUUAGAUUGGGACAGUCCACACGAAAUUUGAGUCUAAAUUUUUGUCA